AGAGUUUGAUCAUGGCUCAGAAUCAACGCUGGCGGCGCGCUUAACACAUGCAAGUCGAACGAGAAAGCAGGAGCAAUCCUGUGAGUACAGUGGCGUACGGGUGAGUAACACGUGGAUUAUCUGCCCUGGAGUGGGGAAUAACGCUGGGAAACCGGCGCUAAUACCGCAUAUUCCCGAGAGGGGAAAGCAGCAAUGCGCUCGAGGAGGAGUCCGCGGCUGAUUAGCUAGUUGGUAGGGUAACGGCCUACCAAGGCUAUGAUCGGUAGCCGGCCUGAGAGGGCACACGGCCACACUGGCACUGAAACACGGGCCAGACUCCUACGGGAGGCAGCAGUGGGGAAUCUUGCACAAUGGGGGCAACCCUGAUGCAGCGACGCCGCGUGAGCGAUGAAGCCCUUCGGGGUGUAAAGCUCUUUCGGCAGGGAAGAUGAUGACGGUACCUGCAGAAGCAGCUGCGGCUAACUACGUGCCAGCAGCCGCGGUAAUACGUAGGCAGCAAGCGUUGUUCGGAGUUACUGGGCGUAAAGGGUGUGUAGGCGGCCUUCUAAGUUUGGUGUGAAAUCUCCCGGCUCAACCGGGAGGGUGCGCCGAAGACUGGGGGGCUAGAGUGCGGGAUGGGAGAGUAGAAUUCCUGGUGUAGCGGUGAAAUGCGUAGAUAUCAGGAGGAAUACCUGUGGUGUAGACGGCUCUCUGGACCGCAACUGACGCUGAGACACGAAAGCGUGGGUAGCAAACAGGAUUAGAUACCCUAGUAGUCC
This 758-nucleotide ribosomal RNA is filed under the name uncultured bacterium. RNAcentral's name for it is "bacterial SSU rRNA". It matches the Rfam family "Bacterial small subunit ribosomal RNA", at positions 8 to 796 of the family's 1533-position model. The record is from RNAcentral.